RNAcentral lists this ribosomal RNA (256 nucleotides) under uncultured Singulisphaera sp. Its description in RNAcentral is "partial 16S ribosomal RNA". It matches the Rfam family "Bacterial small subunit ribosomal RNA", at positions 524 to 776 of the family's 1533-position model. The record is from RNAcentral. Lineage: Bacteria; Pseudomonadati; Planctomycetota; Planctomycetia; Isosphaerales; Isosphaeraceae.
GACGAACCGUGCGAACGUUAUUCGGAAUCAUUGGGCUUAAAGGGCGCGUAGGCGGGUGACCGUGUCGAAGGCUGAAAGCCCCCGGCUUAACCGGGGAACGAGCCUCGAAACGGGUCGCCUUGAGGCGAGGAGGGGGACCUGGAACGUCCGGUGGAGCGGUGAAAUGCGUUGAGAUCGGACGGAACGCCGACGGCGAAAGCAAGGUCCUGGACUCGUAAUCUGACGCUGAGGCGCGAAAGCCAGGGGAGCGAACGGG